RNAcentral lists this ribosomal RNA (390 nucleotides) under Uroglenopsis americana. Its description in RNAcentral is "partial small subunit ribosomal RNA". It matches the Rfam family "Eukaryotic small subunit ribosomal RNA", at positions 30 to 432 of the family's 1831-position model. The record is from RNAcentral. Lineage: Eukaryota; Chrysophyceae; Chromulinales; Chromulinaceae.
GCUUGUCUCAAAGAUUAAGCCAUGCAUGUCUUAGUGUAAAUAACUCUUAUGAAACUGCGAAUGGCUCAUUAUAUCAGUUAUAGUUUAUUUGAUGGUUCAUACUACUUGGAUAACCGUAGUAAUUCUAGAGCUAAUACAUGCGUCAAAACCCAACUUCUGGGAGGGUUGUAUUUAUUAGAUGGAAACCAAUGCGGGGCAACCCGGUAUAUGGUGAUUCAUAAUAACUUUCGGAUCGAUCUUCGGAUCGAUGCAUCAUUCAAGUUUCUGCCCUAUCAGCUUUGGAUGGUAGGGUAUUGGCCUACCAUGGCUUUAACGGGUAACGGAGAAUUAGGGUUCGAUUCCGGAGAGGGAGCCUGAGAAAUGGCUACCACAUCCAAGGAAGGCAGCAGG